RNAcentral lists this ribosomal RNA (500 nucleotides) under uncultured bacterium. Its description in RNAcentral is "partial 16S ribosomal RNA". It matches the Rfam family "Bacterial small subunit ribosomal RNA", at positions 30 to 523 of the family's 1533-position model. The record is from RNAcentral.
AUUGAACGCUGGCGGCAGGCCUAACACAUGCAAGUCGAGCGGAUGAGAGGAGCUUGCUCCUCGAUUCAGCGGCGGACGGGUGAGUAAUGCCUAGGAAUCUGCCUAGUAGUGGGGGACAACGUUUCGAAAGGAACGCUAAUACCGCAUACGUCCUACGGGAGAAAGUGGGGGAUCUUCGGACCUCACGCUAUUAGAUGAGCCUAGGUCGGAUUAGCUAGUUGGUAGGGUAACGGCCUACCAAGGCGACGAUCCGUAACUGGUCUGAGAGGAUGAUCAGUAACACUGGAACUGAGACACGGUCCAGACUCCUACGGGAGGCAGCAGUGGGGAAUAUUGGACAAUGGGCGAAAGCCUGAUCCAGCCAUGCCGCGUGUGUGAAGAAGGCCCUCGGGUCGUAAAGCACUUUAAGUUGGGAGGAAGGGCUUACAGCGAAUACCUGUGAGUUUUGACGUUACCGACAGAAUAAGCACCAGCUAACUUCGUGCCAGCCGCCGCAGUAA